Molecule: ribosomal RNA, 253 nt
Filed under: uncultured bacterium
Lineage: Bacteria
Description: partial 16S ribosomal RNA
Rfam family: Bacterial small subunit ribosomal RNA
Source: RNAcentral
UACGUAGGGGGCGAGCGUUAUCCGGAUUCACUGGGUGUAAAGGGAGCGUAGACGGCCAUGCAAGCCAGGGGUGAAAGCCCGGGGCCCGACCCCGGGACUGCCCUUGGAACUGCAUGGCUGGAGUGCGGGAGGGGCAGGCGGAAUUCCUGGUGUAGCGGUGAAAUGCGUAGAUAUCAGGAGGAACACCAGUGGCGAAGGCGGCUUGCUGGACGAUGACUGACGUUGAGGCUCGAAAGCGUGGGGAGCAAACAGG